GCGACCUGUAUGCAUUUGAUGCAGGUUCGUGAUAGUUACUCAAAAGACCAAUCCACGUUCUGCCAUAUUGCCUUCCACCCGUUCGACGAAAUACCGCCAUCUCCGAGGGCGUCGCCACCGGCCUGCCCGACCAACUCACCGUCGCCAUGACCGCCAGUUGAGCCGACUACGCCUAGGAGAAGCCAUGAAUUGGAUCUUGGUUGGCCGCAUUUUCUAGAUGAAGUUACUGGUCAUAGCCAAAUACUUAUCACUAUAUGUACGAUGAACUUCGUUACACAGUUUCUAGCUACAGAGAAAACGGCGCAUUUGGGGCUGAUGGCAAAUUGAAGCAAACUGUUUGUCUUAAACCAGAAUUGGAUACUUCUAUUUUUGCAUCGGCAUAUAUUACUUAAGUGAUUCUGCAAGAUGCUCAUUAUACUCUUGGUUGUUCCGCCUCAAUGAGGCUCCUAGGUUAGCCGAUUGUGAGCCUGAUGAGUUCGAGAAGCUCUGCACAAAGUGUGAGGGAGAGGUGGAGGACUCGUUGUGAACAAAAUUCUCUUGCAUGGCUUGACUGAGAUGGGUCUUCGAUCGUCUGCCCAGAAUAAUGUGAUACGUUAUGAAGAUGGUUCUCCAUAUCAAUGAAAAGCAAUUUACAAUUUAGGUUCCAGAAAGAAACUUGCAUUCUUAAUAUGUAGGAUCUUUUUCUUGGAUUCAUAUAUUACAUUUCAAAAUUCUAAUGUUAGAACCAUCAGAAGAUUCAAAGGACCCUCGUUGACAUGGCAGUUGCAGAUGCUAUAUGGAUAUUAGAGACAGUCUUAAUAUUCAUGUGGACCAAUCCAAUUCUGGGAAACUGAUAUCAUUACAUUUAUAUUUUCGGUCUCAGGUGUAUCAGCUUUAUGCUUCAUCUUAUUAGCAUUAGCUUGUCUCUGACUGAAGUUUACAGUUUUUCCUGCUCUAACUAUUAGAACAUUUGGUGCAUAAUAUUUCAACUUUUGGUUGUGAAGGAUCUCAAAACUGGGAUGUCUUAUUUCCUUGCUGCUGUUGAUAAAACUAAGCAAGUGGAGAAUGAUGAUGAUUUGAAGGCCAGAGUUGAUCUGAUUGUUUGUUCUUUGGAAACCUGCAACGACUGGCAUACAUAAGACUGUUGGUUUAUGGUGGAAGUCAAAUUAAAUGGCUCCCGAUGAAGUAUCAUGAAGCUUUUGUGGCCUUUUAUAAGGCUAUAUCUGAUGGAAGGCACAAGCCUUCGUAUAUGAUAGUAUCUGUCCAUCUACUGCAUCUACCUUAUCGUUGUAUCAGCCUUGUCAUUGCCCGAGACGCCAAGGCAUAGAUGAUGUUGAAUUUUUUUGCAUUAUUGACCUCAUCAUGCUUUGCCAUCUUA
Long non-coding RNA from Musa acuminata AAA Group (dessert banana), 1357 nucleotides. RefSeq lists it as uncharacterized. Lineage: Eukaryota; Viridiplantae; Streptophyta; Magnoliopsida; Zingiberales; Musaceae. The record is from RefSeq and is a predicted model, not a curated record. The transcript is spliced from 4 exons.